Molecule: long non-coding RNA, 647 nt
Organism: Lactuca sativa (garden lettuce)
Lineage: Eukaryota; Viridiplantae; Streptophyta; Magnoliopsida; Asterales; Asteraceae
Source: RefSeq, a predicted model, not a curated record
AUCAAAAAGAGCCCGUGUGUAUUCACGCAUUUAUACAUACGCAGAUACCCCCGGGUACCUGUAUAUAUCGAUCCAUGUAACACCAGCUUCCGACACGCAAACGCCGCCAUCUUCGCCGGAGAUAAAAAUAAUUGUUGGAACUCGAAAGGUCUGGUCCGUUAUUUUGCAUUAUGCAUACUUAUUCAGUCAUUCUGCUCUCAACAGACUCAAACCCCUCGGAUUCCCAAAAUGCUCACUAAUCAAAGAAAACUGUGAAGAUCGCUGACAACUUGAGCAGCUUAAAGCCUUAAGCAAUCUGGAAAAAAGCCAAACAUCCAUAUACAAUACCAAAGUACACAAUUCCCUAACUUUACUUUACUGAUUACUUAAUAGUUAAUAUACUUGCAAAAGUGUGUAAUAAUAAAAAAAAAGCCUUGCUAUAUUGUCUUAUAAGUUGGUAUGUUGUCAUUGAAUGUUAUUUAGAAGCAACGGAUAAGAACUUAGUGUCCCAUGACAUGACUUAUUAGUGAGCUAUUGUAGUUUUAAACUUCUCCAUGUUAGGACAUUGUAGUUUUUAUAUUUUUUCCUAUUGCGCUUUAAAAAUCUAACCAAUUAUAGCAUUGUAUUCUUAAAACUUAUCCUAUAAUGACAAUGUACUUUUUGUUACA